UAGGGAAUCUUCCACAGUGGACGAAAGUCUGAUGGAGCAACGCCGCGUGAGUGAAGAAGGGUUUCGGCUCGUAAAACUCUGUUGUUAAAGAAGAACAUAUCUGAGAGUAACUGUUCAGGUAUUGACGGUAUUUAACCAGAAAGCCACGGCUAACUACGUGCCGG
This 164-nucleotide ribosomal RNA is filed under the name uncultured bacterium. RNAcentral's name for it is "partial 16S rRNA". It matches the Rfam family "Bacterial small subunit ribosomal RNA", at positions 355 to 511 of the family's 1533-position model. The record is from RNAcentral.